RNAcentral lists this ribosomal RNA (489 nucleotides) under Throscidae sp. UPOL 001326. RNAcentral's name for it is "partial 16S ribosomal RNA". It matches the Rfam family "Bacterial large subunit ribosomal RNA", at positions 1828 to 2610 of the family's 2925-position model. The record is from RNAcentral. Lineage: Eukaryota; Metazoa; Arthropoda; Insecta; Coleoptera; Throscidae.
CAUCUUUUUAAGAUUAUAAUUUAAAAUAUGAUCUGCCCACUGAGUAUUAAAUGGCCGCAGUAAUUUGACUGUGCAAAGGUAGCAUAAUAAUUAGUUUCGUAAUUGGGGACUGGAAUGAAUGAUUGGACAAAGGAAUAACUGUCUAAGUAAAUUAAAGUUGAAAUUUUCUUUAUAGUGAAAAGACUAAAAUAAUAUUAAAAGACGAGAAGACCCUAUAGAAUUUAAAUUUAUUAGAAUUUGGUAAGUUAAAUAUAAUUUUGGUUGGGGUGAUUUCAAGAUAAAAACUCUUGUAUAUUAAGCAUGAUUUUUGUAUAAAUGAAUUUAGUUUAAAUAGAAGAAUAAUUACCUUAGGGAUAACAGCGUUAUUUUAUUUUAAAGAUCUAAUUAAAAAUAAAUAUUUCGACCUCGAUGUUGGAUUAAAAUCUAUAAUUGGUGAAGGAGCUAAUUAAUUAAGUCUGUUCGACUUUUAAAAUUUUACAUGAUCUGAGU